GCCACAGCCACAUUCCAUAAACAGCACUGUUCAAAUAGAUAGCGCAGAUUUGACGUGUUGGCAUAGUGCCGAUGUUUUCCUACUAGUUAUUAACAUAUGUAUUAUUGAAAUGAGGAAUUAAGUGGUUGUGUGGUUUGGCAGUCUUAUUUCCGCUGGGACAGCUGGGAUGGAGAUGACGAUACGUGAGCCUGGACUCCCCUCCUAAAGACCAUACUCACUGUGAGUUAUAGCAGCAUGCUAGCGCGUCCAAGCCCUCCACCUUCCACUCCUGACAAUCACCAGCUCAGUGUGCUUUGGAGCACACCAACAGCGACACGGUUCUGCCCCGCCCUCCCCCGGUCCCGUCCCCAGCUGCUGUGUCUGUCCUCCGGGGGCACGAUGACCUCUGACCUGCCUGAGGCUUUGCUACCGUCCAGCUUUCUGACCUGGGAUG
This is a long non-coding RNA of Esox lucius (northern pike), 433 nucleotides long. Lineage: Eukaryota; Metazoa; Chordata; Actinopteri; Esociformes; Esocidae. The record is from Ensembl.